Molecule: small nuclear RNA, 107 nt
Organism: Dipodomys spectabilis (banner-tailed kangaroo rat)
Lineage: Eukaryota; Metazoa; Chordata; Mammalia; Rodentia; Heteromyidae
Source: RefSeq, a predicted model, not a curated record
GCGCUCACUUCGGCAGCACAUAUACUAAAACUGGAAUGAUACAGAGAAGAUUAACAUGGUCCCUGGGCAAGGGUAACGUGCAAAUUUGUGAAGUGUUCUGUAUUUUU